CACUAAGUCACUUUGUCUUUAUGGCAAAUGUGAGAUGCAGUGUAUGGAAUGUCAAAUUUCUAGUAUGAGAAGUUAACGAUUUAAGUCCUUCUUAAAUGAGGCCAUUUACCCAAAGAGGGUGCCAGGCCCGUAUAACGUUAAUGAUUAUUAGAUGGCAUUUCCAAAGAGUCGUGUUGCUUGAUAGUGCAGCACUAAGUGGGUGGUAAACUCCAUCUAAAACUAAAUAUAACCAUGAGACCGAUAGUAAACAAGUACCGUGAGGGAAAGUUGAAAAGAACUCUGAAUAGAGAGUUAAAUAGUACGUGAAACUGCUUAGAGGUUAAGCCCGAUGAACCUGAAUAUCCAUUAUGGAAAAUUCAUCAUUAUGAUUUUAAUAUUUAUAAUAUUAUAAUAAUGGUGUGCAUUUUUUCUGUAAAGGACAUUGUAAUCUAUUAAUAUACAUUAAUUUAUCAUAAGAUCAUUUGCGUAAGUUUAUUCAAAUUAUUUUGCUUGCAAUUUAAUAUCGAAUAAAUGCUUUUGAUUUGAUAAAGUGUUGAUAGAUUUAUUAUAUACAGUGCUUAAAUAUUAAUAUUUUAUAAUAGCAUAUUAAUCAAUGAUUUUUAUGUUCAUUAUAUGCACUUGUAUGAUUAACAAUGCGAAAGAUUCAGGAUACCUUCGGGACCCGUCUUGAAACACGGACCAAGGAGUCUAACAUAUUUGCAAGUUAUUGGGAAUAAAAACCUAAUAGCGAAAUUAACAUAACUUAUUUAAUGGGAUUAGUUUUUAGCCUAUUUAUAGUCUAUUAAUUCAAUCCCGGGGCGUUCUAUAUAGUUAUGUAUAAUAAUAUUUAUAUUAUUUAUGCCUCUAACUAGAGCGUACCUUGAGCAUAUAUGCUGUGACCCGAAAGA
RNAcentral lists this ribosomal RNA (887 nucleotides) under Lucilia eximia. Its description in RNAcentral is "LSU rRNA". It matches the Rfam family "Eukaryotic large subunit ribosomal RNA", at positions 112 to 823 of the family's 3401-position model. Lineage: Eukaryota; Metazoa; Arthropoda; Insecta; Diptera; Calliphoridae. The record is from RNAcentral.